CUGAGAGGAUGCGACUGAAGGAAGCGCAUAGCAAACUUACGAGCGUAGGAACACGAACCCGAUACAAGGCUAAAUGGGGGCUAAGGUUGCGAAACAAACCGAAGGCCAAAAGACGAAAGUAACCCCAAGAGAGUAAAUCGGGACGUUGUGUAAGGAAAGAAU
RNAcentral lists this non-coding RNA (162 nucleotides) under bovine gut metagenome. The record is from RNAcentral.